Gossypium raimondii (Peruvian cotton) is the source of this 107-nucleotide non-coding RNA. The record is from Rfam. NCBI's taxonomy places the organism in Eukaryota, Viridiplantae, Streptophyta, Magnoliopsida, Malvales, Malvaceae.
AAUUCUGUGAUGAGGGAAUUUUUGUAACAAUUUUUUAAAUCUUUCCCACACCUCAUACAAGGAAUCAUUAUACAUCUAUUAGAAAGUAGUGAUCUCAUUCUGCAACU